This is a long non-coding RNA of Homo sapiens (human), 2703 nucleotides long. Ensembl annotates it as HTR5A antisense RNA 1. Its record names the gene HTR5A-AS1. The record is from Ensembl. Lineage: Eukaryota; Metazoa; Chordata; Mammalia; Primates; Hominidae.
ACACGAAGAGCACCACACAGAGCGGCAGGUAGAAGGCGCCUACGGUGGAGAACACGGCGUAGGAAGGCUCGCGGCUUACCUGGCACUCCUCGCUGCCCUCAGAGUACGUCUCUCCCCAGCCAAAAAGCAGCGGGGCCAGAGAGAUGACAGCGGAGAGUGCCCAGGUGAGCGCGAUCAUGACGUUGGAGACGCACUUGCGGGUGCGGAGCGUGUAUUCCAUGUGGCGCGUGAUGGACCAGUAGCGGUCCAGGGCUAUGGCCGUCACGUUCCAGAUGCUGGCCGUGCAGCAAAGCACGUCGCACGCGAUCCAAAGCUGGCACAGCCUCCGACCUAGCUGCCAGCGGCGCCCGGACAGCUCGUGCACCAGGCUCAGCGGCAUGACCAGCGCGGCCACCAGGACAUCCGAGACGGCCAUGGAUGCCACCAGGUUGUGGGGCACGCGGUGGAAGGUGCGUACACGGAGGAUGGUCGCCAGCACCAGCAGGUUCCAGGCGAACGUCGCCGCCACCAGAAAGCCCAGCAAGAGUAAAACAAGUAUCAGGAGAAUGCACUGAGAAAAGAGAAAGUCCUCCACUGGAACCUAGAGGACGGGACAACAUCAUUAAAUACCGGAUUAUUCACAGGGCUGUUUCAAACACCACUUAAAAACAGCUGAUGGUGACUGCCUGCAUGCAGAGCAACUGUGCAUGGCCCCAAUCUGGAAGCAAGCUUGUGCUUCUUUAAGGCAAAUCACCUUCUUGAGGUCAUGGAACUAAUGGGAAUGAGAUGUAAACUAUGAAUCCUCUUCUUUGGAAAAAGUUCUGCAUCUAGUCUCAGGGCCUGUUAUCUGGAGGAAUGGAUGAACUGUGUUGCCCACAGGCGGGCCUCAAUGGAUCUCUAUGAAUCUUGAAAGGCAUUAUGGGCUUGUGAUUAUAUUCCCUACUGAUUCCCCAGGCCACAGCUGUCUGUAUUGAUAGCUAAGUGAGCAGCAGAAUAGUUAAUAAGGACAAAGCCAAGGAUGACUGAGGAUAAUUUGUGAAAAAUAGAGUGUCAUAAAUUUAGGGACUGAAUAGAAUAUUCCCACAAAGGAGAGAUCCAAUGGAGCAUUUCCAGAAGGGACAAACCCUGUUCAGAAAGUCUGGCUUAUCUCUUAAAAAUACACAAAUAAAAAAUCAUAAUAUUUCAGCUUCAUCUUAAAGCAUAGCCCCAAUUUUAUCUUGAAAAACACUGAAAAGGAAAAGAAUCUGAAAAGGUAUAAAACUCCCGUCUGCCAUAUGGUACCUCUGAAAUGGCAGUAUUGGGAAAUAUACCUUCCUGGGUUGUCACCUCUUAUGGGUUAAACUGUGUCUCUCCUUCCCCCCUCCCUUACCCCCUGCCAGAUUUAUAUAUGGAAGUCCUAACCCCUAGAACCUCAUAGUGUGACUAUAUUUAGAAAUAAGAUCUUUAAAGGGAUGAUUAAGUUAAAAUGAGGCCAUAGGAUAGGGCCUCAUUCAAUCUGACUGACAUCCUUAUGAAAAGAGGAAAUUUAGACAUGCAAAGAGACACCAAGGAUGUGUGUGUGCAUAGGAUAGACCACGUGAGAAUAAAGCAAGAAGGUGGCCAUCUACAAGCCAAGGAGAGAGACAUUAGAAGAUACCAGUAUUGGAAGAUUAGAAGAUAUCAAGAUUGGAUUUCCAGCUGCCAGAACUAGGAAAAAAUAAAUUUCUAGUAUGAGCCACUCAGUCUGUGGUAUUUUGUUAUGGCAGCCCUAGCAAGCUAAUAUACCAUCCGACAAAAGAUACUAGCAAAAGAUACAACCACAUAACUGAACGAGGUGCUAUACUGGAGAAGAGGGAAUUAUAGACAUAUAAACAAAUCAUGGGACAUCUACUAAAACCUUUCCAAAAGGUAGUUUGCAGCCAUCUAGCAAUCAUUCGAGUGCAGACUCAGUUGUCUAUUGAGGUUACUUACGGUUUGUAAUCAAGUCAUGUCACUGGCUUAUAGAAAAAUACUUAUUUUAGAUUUUUCUAUAAUGGGAAGGUAUGAAUCUAUUUCAUUCAAGUAGGAGCUGAUUUUUUGGUUUGUUUUUGCUUCUGUUUUUUGAGACAGAGUCUCACUCUGUCAUCCAGGCUGGAGUGCAGUGGCACAAUCUUGGCUCACUGCAACUUCCAUCUUCCGGGUUCAAGCGAUUCCCAGCUAAGUUUUUUGUAUUUGUAGUAGAGAUGGGGAUUUUACCAUGUUGUCCAGGCUGGUCUCGAACUCCUGACCUCAAUUGAUCCAUCCCCAUCAGCCUCCCAAAUUGUUGGAAUUACAGGCCUAAGCCACCACACCCGGCCAAGACCAACGAAUUUUAAUGUAACAGCAUAAUAAACAUGCAUGAUACAAUUUCAGAUUCCACAUCACAACAAAUCUUUAAGGUGCUACCACUCAUUGAGUUUUAAUAUAGCAUCACAGAAAAAAUAUCCAUAAUUAUCUGAAAAUAGUAUUAAAGUACUCUAUUGUCUGCUGUAUAUCUGUAUGAAAGUGGAUGUUCUUCACAAUCUUAAACUAAAAUAACAUAUCCCAACAGAUGGAAUGUAGAAACAUAUGAUGUUCUAGCUGUCUUGAAGAGAUUUGCAAAAAUGUUAAUGCUAUUCAGAAAUAUUUUAUGAAAAAUAAUUAUUUUUCAUAAUGAGGUAUCACUUAUAUAGACAUGUAAUGGGUUUAUUUUAUUUUUAAUAAACAAAUACACAAAUAUGUUGAAAA